CUCAGUUCAGUGAACUCAGGCUAUUGGCAUUUCAUAAUUUCCUCUUGUUCCAGCAGGUAAGGGAUUAACCUGUUGUUAUUCCUUUCUAAAGGAACAGAGAAGACAUACUCUGCUAAGACCCUGAUUUUUUUUUCUUUUAAUAGUAAUCCGUUGGGUUUUUAAAGAAGUAUUUUAUUGGAACCAUAAGGUUUCUUUUUUUGAAAGAGAGAGAAAAUUUGAAAUCCGGAGUUUAUUUUUCCUUCGGUGUCUUUCCUAAGAACCAACAGGAAUUGAGAUAUUUUUUCUUCUCUCUCGUGUUUGUGCCUACUUAUUAAAUACACAUGUGGCCUGGAUUCCUUGCGUAGGUGCAAAGAGGUUUGGAAAAGAAAGAAAGGUGUAACCCAGUCCAUUGACCUGUCUCUUUGCCCUUAGGACUCUUUCGAACAGCUGUGAGAAAAAGAAAAAGGGGGGGGGAGAGAGAAAAAAGGAGGCAGUUUAACGAGCCAAAUCCAGAUGUUCAUUUCAUCCACACACCCUGAACAGCUUUUGCAUGGUUUAUUUCGUUUUCUGAAACCAUUUUUCACCAGCCUGUUUUCUCAGCUGGGAAACUUCUGGUGUAGUGUUUUCAAAAAAAUAUUGCAUUUGGCAUUACAAGAAAACAGAGCCUUUAAGACAUUAAAAGGACAAUAUCCUUGUUUGACUUGGCCCAGGGAAGCAGAGCUAUAGGAAUUUUAGAUUUUCGUACCACCCAAAGAAUAGGUAAAAGAGAUUUUCCACUCUUAAACCCAGUUUACAUGGGAAUUUGAGAUUUAGCUUGAUUUUUUUUCUUUCAAAGACUACUCUGAGGACUUAAUGUUGUGAGACUUUAUUACCGUGAAGGAAUAAGCACAGCGAUAGCAACCAGUUGACAUCUAAAUUCUGAUGAGCCAUGGUUCAAAACUCAAACUGAUGCCGAAUGAGCCACAUUUUGGUUCUGUGGGGACCAGAUCCCGAUAUGCUCGUUUACACCAACAUCUACAGAAUGUAGACAGACAAAUUUGGAGUUAUUUAACAGUGGCACAGAUUCUCUUUGCUUACAGUAGAGGUAAACUACAGAACGUGAACCACAGUUCUUAUCAGCUGUGCGAACAGCACUGAUAGCAGAGAUGGUGACAGUGUCUACACAGAUUUUAGGGGUACCCCAACAGCUGGCAGGUAAUAAACAAAAUUAGGGAAGGUCAGGUGCAAGCCAGACCUACACCACUAUUGCUUAGCUAGUCAAGGGAUAUAUUGCCCUUCAGAAAAUGCAGUAUGUUGUAAAACCCCGACUCUCCUGAAGCCAGUGGGUGAUUUGUGGUUUGCUGUCUUUCACAGCUGAGGUAAAAAGCCCCUAUGUUUUUUACCUAUAAGAUUCUGCAAGUGCAUUGACUGUUACUUGUUGUAUUAGAGAGACACUUGAUCUAAAUUCCUCAAUGUACAGAAAGGUCUAUAACUUUGCAAAAAGUUUGAGCAAUGCUUUGAUGCUCUUUUUGUGGAAAAAUGUGGAAAUUGGGUAUAUUCAGAUACAGAAUUUGAAGACGUACCUUGAAGUUAAAUUAAAUAGAUAACAAAAAAAAGAAUUUGAAAGGACCUAACCGGAAAAACUGCAUUUCUAAUUUAACAAGUAAAUAGACAUUUUAAAGGUGUUAAAAUGUCCCUUGUCAUGUUUUGCUUUCACUUUGCUCUUGCUAAAAUAAGGACAAAUCAUGAAGUGUCUCUCUUUUGGCAUUACAGAGCAUUCAAGUAUAUAGUGUCCGUGUGCCUGUUUGUGCGUAUGUACAGGUAUGUGCAUCCUUAAGCCUUGGCAGUGCCUGGUAGUGGGAAUAUUGGCAUUUUGGUGUCAGAACACCACCAAACAGGCUAUAAAUAUUUGGUCCUUGAAUUAAUAUUCUCUUUGGACAGAAUUAAAAAAAAAAAAAUAGUAAGAAAAAAAUCAAAUUAAGACGUAAAAUGCAUUAAGGAGAUUAUUUGGCCAGUACAAAACUAAAGUGGAAAGCUGCCAAGCAGUACUAGUAAGUUCUGUUGAGGAAACCAGUAGUCUUUUUAAAGCCACUGGUACACAGACUGAAUAAUCUUGGAAAACGUAUAUAUUAUCUGUCCAUUUCAGAAGACUGAAAACUUGUGAUGUAAAACAGUGCCCUGAUGUGGUUUUUUCCUCUCCUGUUUAUCUGGCAGUAUGCAUUACAUAUAGGUGUGUGUAUGUCUCUGCAUUUAUUUGCGUGCUUACUGUUUUAUUUGUAGGCUUGUGUAGGAUAUUAUACACAUCUAUACAAAAGUGUAUGUUUAUUAUUUGAUUUAAAAGCACAAUGUGUUUGUGUGGAUAUCAAACUUAGAACCCAAGCAGCUUCACAUCUGACUUUUGGUAAUACGAACUCCGAACAUCCAAGCUCAGAGACAGAUAAAUCCAGGAACUUCUUAAUGGAUUGUUGUCAUGACUCUGCAUUUGGAAAUAUUCUGUCAGUCAAUGUAUGUACAAUGCACUUAGAUAUUUGCCUUUGGAAAUGUAAUUUUAGAUUCUCUCUAAAAGGCAAGCAAACUGUUGAUAUCGGGCUGUCAAUGUAUACAAACACCAAUAUAUCCAUCUCUGCUGGAAUGACAGUCCUUGAGGCACGUUGGAAGUGGUGUCAGGGUUCCAUUCGGUGCUUGCACGGUGCAUCGUGGCCUUGGCUGGCGGGGCAGCUCUGUGCUGUGGUGAGACAAAGUCAGUAAAGGUGAUUCAAGAGCUGAGAAGCAAUUCAAUGGUGUUGCAUGGGGGAGUUUGCAAUAAUCCUGCCUUGUGCUGUCAGCCUGGACCCUUCCAGUCAUGUAAAGCGAAAAGAGUCUGGUGAAGUGUGAGUGCUCUUAUCUCAUUCCAUCUUUCAGCAAAGCAAUGACCCAUGCCACAUGGCCUCCCAAAAAUGCCUUCUUUGUUUAGCCAAGAAUUACACCCUGUAAACAUUCCCAAUCGCUGCAUUGAAAUGGCUGCAUUUAUUAUAACAGCCUGCCAUAAACGUUGGUUCAAUAGUCUGUUCUGAGAGGGGUUAAUCCAUGCUCUGGGAACAUUGUUAUCAGUGCUGAGGAGUCCCAGCAGUGGUCUCUGAGGUCUCAUUUGGUUCUAUACAACACAGGUGAAGCUUGGUGAUGCCCACUCCUCUCCAUGCUCUGUCUCUCUUAUGUUUCCCUACAACUCCACUCAAGGUUUGCCUAAUAUUUUGCGAAGUAUGGGGAAAUAUUUCCCAUCAAGAAGAUUGAGGUCAAGGGGAAAUCAUGAUAUGCCUCUUUGUCACACCCUGGUAAAUUUAUUUUGAUACCACUAAUUGUCACUGCAGGCAAGUUGUGUGUCAACCUUAGUUGUCCCCUCUGCAGGCUCUCUACCAUCAUGACUCUGACAGUGAGAACAGGUGCAUCAUGUACAUCAAAGGUAGCUAAGGUUUCUCAGGGCCAUGUUCUGUCAAGUUUUUAAAAUCUGCAAGGUUAGGUGUUUUACCAUCGUUCUGUGCAACCUGUUCCAUAACUUAACUGUCCUCCUUUGAAUUUAUUUUUUAAUUAAAAUGGAAUUUCUCUUUCUCGUGAUCAUUGCCUCUCAUCCUUUCACUGUGCGUAUCUGAUAAAAGUUGGACUCUAUCUUCUUUGUAGCCAUCUCUCAGUUAGUAGAAGCCACCGAUUAGAUCCCCUCCUUUAACUUUUCUCAGUGCUGAACAAAUUCACCUCCCUCAGCUUCUCCUCGUGUGUUUGGCUUUCUUGAUAACCCACUGCUGGACUCAGAUUUGUUGAUAUCCUUUUUGCACUAAGAGGAGAGAAAACAGUCCAAAAGUGGAACUGGGGUUUUAGUUGCAGUUCAUGUUUUGUAUUAACUGUCUAUUCUGCUGACACCAGAUGCUCAAGCCUGGGCCAUUAUUGUAAAUAUAAUGGCUCUUACUCAACUGUUGGGAACAUCAGGGCGUACCUGCUCAGCCUUCUUGGAAGAGCCUGUUUCCUGAACACGCUGUACCCAGGUCAUCCUGUCCCAGUCAUUUGUCUCUCUGUGAUGGCAAUACAAUUGUUUGCCUUUUUCCCCCAAUGCUGAACUGACUGGAUCAUCCUGGUGGUGCUGAAUUUGUUUUCUGCUUUGACAAAGUGCAUACACUCCUACAGCUUUUUACGAAGGAACCAGAAACAUCUAGGAAAAAGCAGGAGGAGUGGAAAGCCCUCAAUUUCUUUUUCUAUGAAUAAUUUAGUGCCAAGUUAACUGAAACAUUUGAAAAAGAGAUUUUUGGUGCCUAGCUUCAUUAAACCCUCUAUCCCCAAAUGUAUUCUCUGUGAGUGCCAGCAUCCAACACUUCAUCUUGUCCCAGUCACAGCAAAGACCUUGUGGAAAUAAAAUGCAAGGGAAGGGAGAAGAAAAGCAGAUUAUUGUUGCCAUUAUGCAUGUCUGUGUGUGCACACGUGCUCUACAAACUUACAGCAAGGGAAAAGAAGGAAUGAAGCCCCAAGCCACAUCAGCCUUCCAAACCGUGCACUCCUUUUGGGGGUACAAGCCAUGCUCCAUCCCAUUAAAGAGCAUUGUGCCACACUCCAAACCCGUUCUCUGGAGCACGUGUUUUAAUCAGAGUAUUAUAUUCUCAUCCACUAAGCUUUUACCAGCUCGAUGAGUGGGACCUCCUUCACUUGGCAGCGGUUUCUGUCAGCGAUCUGUCUUUGCAGCUAUUUCCGUGGGAAGGUCCCUCCAUCUGGCGCUUGGCAGAGAGGGGAACUUUCCUCUCAAAUGUUUUCUCUCUCUCUCUCUCGCCCUGUUUAAGGUAUACCCUUUGGAAAUCUUCAACUUCCAAGAUUUAUUUUUGCACAGGGUACAUACUUUGUUUUACGUGGUCUGGCUUUCUUUUCUUUUAACAAAACGCCACCCCCGUGCUCUGCUUAUCCUGGCAGAGGGAGAAGAAUGCUGUUUGCUUUAAUAUUACCUUCGGUCUCAGUAUGCAACAGGUCAAAAAGAUGUGACAAGUACACAUGCUAAUCCCUUUCCCUUUCAGUUAAUAGAAUAACACAGAUGGGAAAGUUUACAUUGGGAUCUGACACUCUCUCCAAGCUGAAGUUAAGAAGGAGACGGGUUUGGACGUUGCCUUUCAGAUCAGAGCAGUUACUACACAAACUCACCUUCCCACUCAGCGUCAAGUUGCUCCUGUCAUCCUGAGCUGUUUGCUCUGCUAAGAAUGUUCCCCUUCCCCUUCUGCUCCCCUUGUAAAAGCAGUAGCUGGAGUUGGAUAAGAUUCUGAAAGCUUCUGUAGAAUGAAAUAUUCCCCAAGAAUCAGUGAUGUUCCAGUGAAAAAUAUCAACGUUUUCCACUGGAACACCAUCAUUUGUUUUGAAAUGGUGACUUUUUAAACAUUUGGCAUUUCUGGGCAUUGAAAUAUCACAUAAGAAAAUAAUUCCCACUUAAAUCAGAUAAUUAGAAAUAUUAAUUUAAUUGCAAUAAACCCCCAUAUCACCAGUUUUGUAUAAUCAGAUUGUUUAUCUUUCAUUUGAUUCUGUUUUCUGUCUCUUUGUAGCCUCCAGAAUAUGUUGUCUGACAUUUUGCAUGUCAUAACCCAUUUGUAUAUUUGCAUGCCUGAAGAUUUGCCACUUAGGCUAUUUCUGCAAGAAAAGCACAGAAGAAUAAGACCCAGGAUUAUGCCUAUGAUGGGAAAAGCUGCAGCAGGGACUGGCUGAAAGGGCUGAUCCAUCACACACCAAAUAUCACUUUCUUCCCAACCAGCAGCUCUGAAUCUUGUACCCCUGUGAAAAGGCCCAGAAACACAGAAGUGCCCACCUUUGCCUCUGAUCUUAUCAUCUUUAUCUGCUGUAAAAUAUCUAGCUUCAAGAUUCCUUGUGGUUUCUCCAGAAUUCCUUAAAUAAUUCAUCACUUGACCCUCAGAGAAAAGACAUCACUGGAAGCCACCCGAGGGAAGAGAUCACCCUGCUGGCUCCAUGUGGAGAGGUGUGGGCAUUGGAAAGGAGAACAAUGAGUCCUCCAGAAGGUGUUUAUGGAUUUUUGGUGCUAAGAACAUGACUGCUGGUUUCACGAGUGCAUCAGAAAUGAAAACCAAACAGUGUAUAGUCAUAUGGAAAAGUAAACAGCAAUGUAUAAAUGGAUGAAGCAAAUGUGGUUGAAAGCAUCACACUGUCCCACUGUGUGGACUUCAGGGGAGGGAACAAACUAGCUAGAGGGAAACAGCCAUAGAACCUGCUGUCUCCUGAGAAGUUGUUUGGGAAGUUGGGAUGCAGAGGGAAUAUGGUGCAGUACAACCAGGGGGUGCAGUACUGUGUAACUGCAAAAGCUCUUUUUGUACAGAUUGGAAUAUUUUCACCUUUGCUCCAGUUCUCUCUGCCUGAUAAUAGUCGUUUGCCCAUCAUCCCACAGUGGGAAAGCUCUUUCCACCAGUCAGUGUACAUUGGCAGUGAUUCUGCUUUCCACUCUGAGAACAACCCACUCUGCCACCAGCAGAAGCUGUGAGAGUUUAGUUUUGUUUGUUUUCCUUACCCCCCCCCACUAAGUGGAGGUUGUUCCCGAAAAUGCUUGUAACUGAUUCUUAUUUCAGGUAUAUGUCUCUCCCGUGGGUUCUCAAGCUGUGGUCUGUGGAGUAUGAAUAGCACAUGAAGUCAUUCCUGCUGAUACCCACAACGAAACAUGAGAGAAUCACGCAAAGAUUGGCACAUUAGUGGAGAAGGGCAAAAGUACCUCGUUACCCUUUCUUCAUCAAACCCAGAGUUCAGCUCUGGCAAUUGUGUCUUUGCAAAUCAAUCAUCAGGGAGGUUCUUUCCCCUUUUGUGCAUAUAUAUAUUUACUUAUUCCAUCUUUUUUCAACACCAUGUUGGGCCUGAUCCUGCAAACACCAGCUGCCAUGGUUGUGGAGUUUUCUAGUGCUUAAAGUGCGUGUGCUGAGUGACAAAGCAACUGGUAACCCUGGUCUCAGCUGAACUGUCUCGUUUCUCCUCCCUGCAAGGCAACGCUCGCAGAUGUGAGUGUGUGUGGAGAGCAGGGGAUGACAGUAUGCUGGCCUGGAAGGGGACCAGGCACUCGUCCCCUGGGUAAGCUGGCUUGCACGUCAAGUGGAAAGUUUCGUUAUUUACCAACUGGUCAAAAUUAUUUUGCUAUUGACAGAGGCUUCAUUAUGUCAGCCAUUCCAUUCUUUGAAAACAUGGGCAAAACCGAGAGAGUGGUGGCAGAGAGGAGGAAAUUCCAUUUCUUCCUAAAUUGAGUGGAAACAUCUUCAGGAAAAUUAAAGAAAAACCCGAGAGGAGGAGAAGAGCAAAAGAAAUAACUGUAGCCAAAGCCACUUUCCUUUUUCUUUUUCAAUCUCCCGUCCAACAUGCUCCUGGUAAAAUCAUUACAAAGGCCGUUUAUUUUUAAAAUUGAAAGAUUGGGGAGAGUCAUAAUGAGAUAUUAUGUGUAAAAGUUGCACAUAAAUUUUCUUCUGUCAUAUUUUGGGCUCGCCUAACGCAUCCCCUUGGCAGGCCUGAGGGAAGCUGAUCACUUUAGUAUAGAUUGUGUGUGCUUCAAUAAUAUUGCCCAAGGACAGAGCUACUGGGUGGCUGAGUUGGCUACAUGCUUAUUUAAAAAUUAGCUGGGCUUUUAUUGGCCACGCAAAAUUGUUCAAAAAGAAAAGUUUUAUACCAGAAAAAAGAAGCAUGUUUGGAGCAAGACUCUUAUCUCCUUUGUCUUUUGGGGAAUGCAAUUCUCUUACUUACUGGGGAGUUUUGUUCUUUCUCAUCUUUAUGGAGAGCCAUGGAAGAAAGGUGAAGUGAUUGUGGUGUGUAAUAUAGAGAAAAAGUCCUAUGGUGUUUGGUUUCUAGAGUGUUUCCCUACGGGUCACCCUGCACAGAUUUCAAGGAUAUGGAGUUGGACAGUAUAAUGUUUUGCUACACCCUGGUUUUGGUCUCAGGUCAAAUGGAUCUGUCUUCCUUUUUUAAGUGUGAGGACACAAGAUGACAUAAAUUUAUUACAUAAAAGUCCUAAAAUGUUUUUAUUAUUGUAUUUGUGUUUAGGCAAGUUUGACGUUUACUGUCACAUCUGCAGUCUGGGAUUUGUGUCCGUUCUCUGGGUUGGGGGCUUCUCCCGAAGGCUGUGGGUGUCGUGUGGUUUUUCUGCUGAUGAAGAUUUUAUUUGUUUCUUCAUACUUUGUCUUCAUUGUCCCCAUCUCUUUCUGAGGUUUUAGUGCUUCCAGGAUCUCAGCUGAGGGGUCUCCACAGCUGCCAAGAGCUGGGACAUUUCCUUUUCUUCCUUGGUCUAAACCAGAAACCGGUCUUCAAGGAGGCAAAGACCAUCAAAGAGCAUAAGAAUAAACAGUAAUUCAUAACAGUCUUUGCUAAUAUGCUUAAUUUAGAGCUCUGGAGUCCAAGCCCUAGCCACACCUCCUCCAUAUUCACUUUCAUGAAGCACUUGACCUAUUUACUCACUUUUUGACCUAGCAGGCUGAGAAAUGUGAUGGAAAAGACAUGACCAAAAUGAGAGGUUUAAAUAAAUAGCUUUUAGUGUGGGAGUAGGCCAAGUUCAUUGUAACUGUAAACAAGAUUUUUUUUUUUACAUGAACCCAAUCUGAGUACCCUUAUACUUUGGGCAAAGCUGAGUGAACCUGAGCUCGCAUCUAGUCUUUCUCUCAGUCCUGUGCCAAACGAAAACUUGAACUGGAACUUGGAAAGACAGUUCUUUAGCUCAACUGGUUCAGGUAAUCAAGCUCUGAAGCAAACCUCCCAAUCUUGUCCUGUUGGGAGUUACAGUUAAUUAAAUUAAAAUUUGAGUCUUCUGCACCGGUAUCUUCAUCUCUGGGUAGCAGCCUUGGGCGAGGUUGAAAGUGAAACUUGCUUCCUUUGCUUCAAGGCAGCUUUGUCUAAAAUCGACUCCAGAAUCAAAAGCACCAUGUGCAGCUAUUAAAACUCCCUCACCACAAGCUGCUCUGCCAGCAUUUCUGAAUACACCCGGUUCCUGCAGGUAACCCGGCACGCUUUCAUCUUGUGUGAAUUGUAAAAGAAGGCAUCAGGGUUUAUUAAAGAGUUUGUGUUGCUAAUGUGUCAUACAUUACGCCAUUAAUUAAGAGAAAUUACUUUUUCCCCGGUUGGGCGGCUACAUAAUGCUGCCAGCAUGUGUAUAUUAUCCGUGUCUCCCCACCCUGGCCUAACCCAAACGCUGCAUGAGUGAUUGUACCCCAGAGAAGCUCCAGCCUCUUCAGGUAAUUCAAUUGCUGAGUCUCCAAAACCAAGGAAUUAAAGAAACUGGGCUCUGCUCCCCUUGUAAUUAGUACCAGAGCGAGCAAGUGGGGUGCGGCGUGUACAUGUGUUCCCAAUCACAGCCCACACAAUGAAAAUGUUUUCUUUCUGGGACAAUCUGAAGAAACCUCACAGGGAUCUGGGGCUUUUAUAUAUAUAUAUGUAUGUGUGUGUGUGUGUAUAUGCAAUAAUAAUAAUUAUCCUCAUUAGAAAGUUACCUCCAAAGCUCUGCGACGUGUUUUAAAAAUUGGUGGGAUAGCUGGAUGAUGCUCCAAAGAGCCCCAGCCCACGCGGGACCUCUGGCAUCGCCCUGGGUGUUCGGGGCAGCGCUCGGACCGGGACCAGCUGGGUGUGCAGCACCAGGCUGUUUGCUGCCUGCAGCUGGGGCUGGACGGUUCAGAUGGGUACAUCCUUUGUCUGUCUGUAAUGUUUUGUUUCAUAACAUUUUUCCACCGAGCUUUAAUCCGGAGGGUGUUAUUUAUCCCGGGUGGUCAAAGAAGCAGCACACGCUCACCUAACAGCCCCUCAAAUUUCUGUGCUUCUCACUAAUGCUCUCCUUCCACAUUCCUGAGGAUCGGGGACACACAGUGGGAUGCUGGACCAUUAUUUUACAGAGGGUAACAAUAUUCUCCCUCAGACUGAGCUGUAGGGUAUAAUUAGAGCUGUUCAGGAAUUUUUGUCAUUAAAAGUCUUUUGGUUGGAAAAUGCCAGUUCUUUGAAACAACCUUCUUGGAGUAAAGGGGAAGGUUUCUUGAGUCAAAGAGGGACAAACUCUGGAAUAACCACUAGCCCUGGGUUAAAGAGAGCUGUAUUCAAGUCCCAGCUCCAGUGAAAGUGCAGGUUACUUAUACAUUAAAGAACAGCACUGUAAAAUAGCAAUGAAGAAUUCUGUGCUCACCCAGUAUAUGGACAAAUCAUAAAGCUACAGUUUCAAAGAGAUUCACCCUGCCUGAGCAAGAAUUUGUGAUUAUUUCCUAUCUCUCAGGAAGCAUAACCAAGUUCUGGGUCUUGUGUAGCUCUCAAAAAUGAGAGCACUUCUUCAAAAGGUCACAUUGAAAACCUGUGCAAGGAGGAAUAACCUUCAGAGGUGCUGCUGCUGAAGCAAGCUGGUGAGCAGUUGUUGGGGGGGAACAGAGGCUCUCCAGUCACAGACCUGGGUACUAAAACCAUCCUGCAAGCAAUUAAUUAACAGCCUGGCACAAUCAUUGUGUUACUGACUCAGUAAUGACAUUAACACAAAUCCCACAUACCACCAACUAACUAACAACAAGAAUUCACUCCAUCAUGAAGAUAAAACUUCUCUGCUGGAAGUGGGAUGCCUGAUCUAAUAAGCCAUUAGCUUACAUCCCACAACUAAUGGCUCACUGGUGAGCAUCACUUUGGUACCCAGCACUCAUGAUUACCUAUGGAAGUGGUUGAGUCACCAUCUCUGGAGAAGUUGAAAGGAUGUGUGGGUGAGGUUCUCAGGGAUAUGUGUUAGUGCCAGAGUUAGGUUAUGGUUGGACUUAGUGAUCCUGAGGGUCUUUUCCAACCAAAAUGAUUGUAUGAUUCUAUUCCUGCUGGAAGAUGGCACUCUCAGGAGUAACUGCCACUGCCAGAAACGGCGAAGCUGCAGGUAUCCUACAGAAAUAUCACUCUGUAGGUCACAAUAUGUCCUGGGCUGGAUGGGGAGGGAGGUGCUAGGAAAGCUAUUGGGAAGGAAAGCCAGGUUUCCAACUUCUGUGCAUUAAAGGACAUAACAAAUUAACUAGAGUAGACAACCAAGCAACAUAAUUAAUUAUGACUUCACCUCCUUAUCUAUAUAUAAGAAAAAUGCCCUUUUUUAAUUAUUAUUUUUUAAAUCAGGAAUUUUUUUGCUACCCCAGGAAGUUGGUUUAUUACAUGAUUGUUGCUUCAGUGAAAUGUACCCAGUUCUCUGGGAAAGGCUGGUUUUGAUGAAUAUUCAGAUUUGAAGGAAAUCUGAAACAAAUUACUGAAGUGGGACUUUUCAAUAUUUUCAUGAAGAAAGUUUGUUUCUCAUUUGAAGGUGACUUAAGAUUUGAAAUUUGAAUAGUGGUUUUUAUUAGAUAGAAAAUAGUCAAAUUCUGAAAUAACAAUGUUGUGAAUUUUUUAAUAACCCUAUUGAUGUGAUAAAAUUAUCACAUGUAUCAUUUAGAGUUAUUACUGCAAAAGGAAAAUAUUUCAGAUAAUGCCUUUAAAGAAAAAAAAGUGAUUUAGAAAUGUCAAGAAGUCUUAAAUGUAGGAAAAUCUUUUCCCUCCUCUUUCAAGUACCAUUUGCUUAAAUGCCAUUUAAUGUUGGUUUUACAUUUGGCUGAGUUUCCUCUGUUUUAAAGAUCUUUAGCUUGCAUUAAAAACAAAAAAAAAACAACCAAAAAAAAGGCUUGGAAAUCCAUGUGGUGGUCGCUGAGGACUCGUGCUACUGACAAACAUUGCUAGGAGCUGCACAUCCGAGAAAUCAAACACAAGAAGUCUACUCCUAGAAACUCAGUUUCAGGGGAAAUCCAGAAACUGGAAGAGUGAAGAGAUCUAUGAGUCACUACUGCUGGGGCCUGGGCACAUGGUGUCAAGGGGGAUGGAAAAUGAAUGUUGGGGUUUAGGGACACGACAACAGAGAAAGCAGCCAUGACAAGGACAAGUGUUUCAGGACAGAGAGAAGAAAGAAACAACAAGAAGGGCGGUUCUUUUACUGACUUGAGUUUGCAUCGGUGCUGUAUUUCCAAGGUGACUGGGAGGCUGGGCUAACUCAUCAUGAGAUAAAACAGCAAUGCCUGAUUUAGUGCUUUUUUAUACCCUAAAUUCUACUUAUUGGGAACUUAUUUAAAAUAAUGAAAUAUGGGAUAUCUGUUUAUUCAAGCUAAAUUUUAGCAUAGACUUCUGUGUAUGGGGAGCAUCGUUUCUGAGCUAAAAUAAUGUAUGAACUCUGUAAACUCGUUAGCUUCUCUUUGUAAACUUUCCCAGAUAACAAAAGGUUUCAUUUUCAGGAAUGACCUUUUUUUUCUCUGUUUCAUUUUCAGGUACUCUUUGUGAUCUGUUGUCAGGUCAUCACUCCACUAAUGUGGGAAUUUCCUUGUGAUGUUUAGGAAGAAAAGGACAAACCUUCUGAAAAGACACCGGUAAGCACACCAAUUACCCACACUGCAGUUUUUAGAAAAGUUUUCUAAGCCUGUUUUUACUCACGUAGAUUUUUGAUCUGGAUUUUAGUAAGAAACAGGACUCAGUAAACUUGAGUUCAGCCUGAAAUGAACAUCUGAAGCAGCAGACAGGUUCUGACUCUGAAUCUCAGUUUGUAGCUGGUAUUUAUAGCUGUGUCCACCAUAUCUCAAGACCAAGUUAUAAUUCACACCUGAAUUACCUCUUAGCAUGCACACAGCUAGUAUGAACUUCUUGCAAUAAGCCCUCAAUGCUUGGUUUAGUUUGAUAUUUUUAAACUUGGAAACAAAAUCAUUUGAGUUGCAUUUUCGCAAAUAUAAAAAAUGAGGCAUUUUGUACAUUCAACUGUACAUUUCAGAAGUGUUUGCACACUUAAACGCGCUAUUUUGUGAGGACUUUUGCUGUGCAAUGGCCAGAUCUGCAGUGCACAGACGCUUUGAGAGCGUAUUAACUGCUAUUGAGCAUGUGGAUUAGGUGCACUUUUUGUAUGCACCAUUAACCACUCGAAAAUUUUGACGACAAAGGAAUCAUUAUGAUCCUGAGAAAGUUUAUUAUAUAAACAUUGUCCUUUCUGGUUCAGUAAUGUAUUAUCCUCAUUCCUUUUGCACGGCCACAAAACUAUUCCUGCUCUUGCUUUUCCAAACUGGUGUAACUGGCAUGUGGAACAGCUGGUUAACUCUGCAAUGAUCCAAGAGCAGCAGAAGACAAGCAGUGCAGAGGGGGCUGCUUUCUUCUGCCAAGUGUAGAACUAAGCAGCUGCUUUGUAUUUUCACAUGAACUAAAACGUUUUGUUAACUGCUUCACUGCCGGGGUACAGGGUAUAUAUAGCAGGGUAUGGUUGCUGGCCCCCAGAGUUAUUCAGCUCUCAGAGACUUAGUGAUUCUCCUUUGGUUCCAAGUAGUGGCUGAUAGCAUCUAGGACAAAUGCUCCUGUCACGGGGGGCUUGAUUGUAGGAUGGUAUUCAAACAACUUUAUUUUCUUUAUUUUAGUGCAUUAAGCAUGCCCAUAUGUGCAAAAAUCUGCCCUUAAAAGAACAUUCUGAAGACUGUAAAUGCUUAAAAGCUGGUAAAUGCCAAUGGAGACAUAUGCUUUUUGAUCAUCUUUAAUUGUAUAAAAUAAUAAACUUGCAAAAGAAUGGGGUGGAAGAGACCUUGAGAUGUCAUCUAGUUCUCCAGUUGUCAAGCCUGUUCUUUAAUGUCUCAGGUUCUCCUGAUUUUCUCCAAAGAAAUGUGGCUUUUGGGGAUCCUAGGGAGGUUGCAUUACACCUGUUCAGAGCUGCAGAUCUGCAUCUUACUGUGAAGGUGGGAACGUGAACAAGGAAGCUGUUGUUAAUUAACAGAAAAGUAAGAUUCCUCUGUUUAGAGUAUCAGAAGUGAUACUGGGAAGAGAAACUUUUACUCUUCAAAGGAAAUACAGCCUGGAGAAACUGAGAUAAGAAUUACAAGGGCAGAAGUUGAACCCUAUGUAGUAUCUUUGCAUCCAGUGUUGCUCCUGCUUUGCUGGUGCAUGGGUGCUGUGGGAAGGGUAAUUAGGAAAAGGCUGAUCAAGAGUCUGAAGAUGUUGUGUUUGAUGUGUACUCAUGUACAAAUAAAAGAGAUGGUGUAGGGGAGGUGCAGUUGCAAUCUCAAAAAGAGGUUCUGGAGGAAGUGGAAAAGAUGUGCUGCAAAUAUUCAUGCUCCAGGCUCCAACUAGAAAAGGGACAAAGUUCAUGGGACUGUGAAGUGCCAGAAACCAGCCCAUGGGUAAGGUGCUGGAGAGCAGCUUGUGUGGCCUCUGGGUGCGGUAGAAAGCCUGACCUAUUGGCAACUUUCCUCUUCAGCCACUGGAACAGCUGGGACAUGAGUCCCUUGAAUAGUGUGGAGCAGAAGCCCGUGGUCAUUGUAUUCAUGAAAUUCAGUAGAAAACUUAAGUUAGUCUAAUUGGCCCGUGAAAGUGUCUGUGAGGUUGGGUGCUGACAGCAAGCACUGCAAAGUCAGAAGAUUGCACACGGGAAGGAAACAUUUGCUUACAAUAGGAUGUGAGGAAAUGGGACUGACUUCACCCCCCUGGGCAUGUGGCAGGGAAUCAUGAAACACCAGGUUUCAAGCUGAAUAUUUGCAUUUAUCUCCCAAACUUUGCUGUGUGCACUCUGAUGUGCAGGACAAGACCUGCUGGAUUCUAGACAGAGACAAGGCAAUGAGAGAGUGAUCCAGUUGCACUGCUGAAUGCCUGUGCUUUAUCUGCUAUUUAUUCAUAACCUUGUGUUUAAAGUCAUCUUUAACUUGCUAAACAAACCUUUCUUAAGUCUUUCUGUUUUGAAGGAUGGCGGAGAAGUGAAGCGAAGUGAAGCAAAGUGAGACUGACAAACAGGAUGAACUGUUUUGGGGAAGAGAGUGACUCCCUUUAUAGAGAUAGCAGCUUCUUGAGGGAUGUGGACCCAAGAAUAACUUUAGGGAAACCAGAGACUCUGCAACUCUGCAGACAGACUUGAAUGGGUCAGUGUGGAAGCUCAAAAGGCCGAGUUCCAAAUCUGGGAAAUGUCACCUUCCAUCAGGCAUACAAUACACCAGAAGAAAAGAAAAGAAAGCAGGUAGUAGGAAUGCUCCAGGUGGACCAAAUCUUCACAGCAGUGCUCUGUAGGUGAGUCACAGUAAAAGCAUUGCCAAGAGCAAGAGGGAGGACAAAGCCAUGGGCUCCUCUGCUUUGUUAAGUUUGCAAAACACUUGGUGAAUGAAGCUGUGAACUGUAGGGCUGAUGCUGAAGGCAUCAGGCACUGUAGGCUCCUGGUUUUCUGCAGAUGGAAUCGGUUUGUGAACAUUCUGUGUUGCAGAGAUGCUGAGGCUUCACCUGCCUGCAGGUGUUGGAGCAGGGCCUUGAAUAUAAGACCUGCCAUGUAUUAGUAACUUCAGCUCUGAAAACAAUGUGUCUCCAUUAUCUCAGGUACACCAAACUCACGGUGACUUACCCUAGUUUUUAUGCCUCAGGACCUCAGACCUUCUCUUUUCCCAUCCUCAUCAGACUUCUCUGAAGAAACAUCCAUGGGUAUUUGAGAAGUGCUCAGAUGCUGUCAUGAUAAGCCUGUUGCAAAAUCCAUAAGAAAAUGAAUAAUUCUGUGUUUGAUGAAGGGUUUGAAAGGUGCGCCGUAUAUAUAGUGCAGAGGCCCCUGUGGUUAGGCAUAGGAAACAUAUAAUAUGGAGUAUAUGCCCCUUCAGAGAGCAGCAUCUGACCUAUAUCUUGGAAGAAAUUGUGAGGGCUUUGGAGAAAUCCAGUGUACAACCAGCUGACAAAGGCUGUGUCACAGCACACGUGCACCAGCAGCUGGGGAUGCUGCUUCGCCUGCUCUGCUGCGGUCGGCCAGGACCAUUCCUCUGCCACCCACCUCCUCCAUACACCUGCAACACUGAGGAUUUAUAGCCAGGAGCAGCCUGUGUCCAAACGGAAUCACCAGCAGAGCAAAAGCUGAGACAACUUUGCCUUAAUCAAGGAAAAGGAAUUUCAGAAGGAAGUAAUUUUAUUUUCAUAACACUAAGUAAAAACUCCUAGUGGAUGGCCUGCUUGCUCUCUCAUAUUCUUUUCUGGCUUUGUCUUGGAUGUGGAGAUGUGACUCCAAAAAAGCAUUAUCUUUAUUUCCAGAAGUUGGUGUAGAGGUUUCUGUUGAAAACUGCAAGAGCCAUGUGUUCAAACACUCCAGUUCUGGAUCUUUCCAUUCUCCUUGUUAUGCUCUGAGCAUAACAUUUUCAUAUAAUCAUGAGAAGCUGAACUGCUUUCUCAUCUCCUGACACACCAAAACUGCUGUUGGAAUGUCCUAGAAUGUCUUAGAAAACUUAGAAUGUUACAGUUGAGAGAAAAAUGGUAAAGUAUGUUUUUUGCUUUACAUAUCCUGAGAAGCUUCUCUGAGGACUUCACUACCAUAUACUUAGGGUUAAGCACAAACUGAGCAUCAUGAAGCAAGGGGAGUCAGCCUGGGUUUGGGUAAACUUCAACAACUAACUUUGAAGCUUUGGUGAACUGUCAGAUGUCUGUUUGUUAGAACCUGGCCCUCAAAUUAAAUGGCAGCUCCAAGCAUCCCACCCAGUACAGAGGACUUACCACAUCCAGAUCAGGUCCUGGCACAGAACCUGUAUUUUCAAUAUCUGAUGAGUGGAUGAUCUAGCCUUUAGGACAGAGUUUUGGAUACUCAAUGCAAAUGAGUCUCAGUUAUGUAUCACUAACUUAUUUUAUGACAUGCCUCCAGGAAAAAGAGGGGAGAAAUGAUACUUGAAACAUACAUUUUUAAAAACAAAUUUUAGUUUUAAGAAAACCUAGAUAAAUUAUGAGUCGAUUCUUCUUCAGCCAUUAUUUACUAGACAUUUUAAGAGAUUAUCUGUUUAUUUAUUGCCCUCUGAGACCACUAGAGUGGAGGGAAAAUGCGGUUAGUCCAUCACUUCCCCGGAUAAAAAAAGAUGCAAACUCUUAAUAAAGUAUCGAUGGCACCCCAAGGGGACAAAAAGAGAUUUGCAUCCCAGAGGCCCAGCUGACAGACCACAUAAGUUACUGCAGCAGCAGCGUGGUCCUGUCAGAGAAAGGAUGAUGAGAGAAGAAGGAGCAAAACAUGAUUUGUACUGGCAUGCAGUGAACAAGCUAAGCUGUGUAAAAAUGAAUACAUGAAAUUAAAAGGAUUAAUGGGACAAGUUAGUGCAGGGUAGCAGGGAAAGUCCCCCGUCUAGGCACUUCUGCCAGGUUCCACCCAGACAGGUUAUUUUUUUCUUUUAAACCUUCUUUUGUAAGUGAAAUUUCAUCUGGAGAGCACCCUCAUGAGCGAAAUUCAAUUCCCCCCCCAGCUCCACCUGGAUAAGGCCUUUGAGCUUUUAAAAUUUGCUUUCAUUUAAAAAAUCAUGGUGGUUUUCACAAAAGCCUGAAAUCUUGGCUCGGUAUGAAGAAGGCUAAUGGCAUGUUAGCCAUCAGAAAUCAUCCAGUGAGUUCAUUUGCAUCGAAUGCUCCUCUUAACCUCAUGUUGUAAAUCACUUUUAAAUAGCUGCGCCGCUUCACCCCGGGGCUGGCUGCCGUUCAGGACUGAGCAGAAUGGUUUCUGCUUAUUCUGUGAAGGCCUUUGAAAUCACUUGUGAUAAAGAUGUAUAGAUGUAAGGUUUUUUUACUAUUUAAAUCACAAAGCAAGGCCUAAAUAUUUUUCUGCAAUAACAUUUUGCCGUGGAGCACAGUCUGUUCUAUCCAAGCCUGUCCGCUCCCACCCAUGUGCAAGUAUGCAGGGUUUAUCCCAUUAGGUAGUGGUUUAGGGUUUUUUUAGUACUAUACCUGGUCUUCGUCUUGCAAAAGGCAGUUACAGCAUUCACAAGAUGACAUUCAUUUCAUGCAACAGAAGGCUGACUGAUUGAAGGGAAGGGAUGAUAUUUGGGAAUGAAAAACAAAGCUGUGACAUGUAAAAUUACGUAUAAAGUGAGGUCUUUUUUCUUUCCCCCUCAUAAAAUUCUCAACAAGUGAAUUCUAGAUGUCAGCAUUUAAGCAUUGUCAGGUAAUUCUUAUGUUACUGUAGUAUCUAUACACCUGCAGAGAAGUCACAGGUGUUGCACGGUCUGAACCUGAGGGGCACAGUGUGCACAGAAGAGCUUAUGGCUUUAGGUUGACCAGUCAGAAAAAGUGAAGACCAGGAAGUGUUGCCACUGUUUACUUCAGUUUCUUUCUCCCUUUAAAAAUAACUGCAACAAGUUGCAGCUUACUUAGAUUAAUCAGCAUUUAAGAUGAUGUAGAGAUUGGUGCCAUGGGGGCAAAAAAAAAACAUAUUAAAAAGACAAAAAGAAACCCUGAAGCCUACAGGUGCAGCAACAAUCUACUCAUAUUGACCCAGGCUUUCUACUGAGUAGGUAGAGAUUAGAAUAAGCCUGAGCAGCUCCAUUGGUCAUCUGUUGUCAUCACACCUCGAUACUGCUGCUGUCGCACUGGUGGCUUCUUGAAGGAGAAAAACCAUUGUCCUCCAGGUCACUUCUUCAAUCAUCGCAGUUGUAUUCAGUCUUCAACAAGUUGUUGCUGACCGUGUGUGGCCAUAAUAGUUCAGGUUACAUUACCUUGAAAGGUGAAGCAUCUUCUCUGCUUGUCUGUGGAAGAAGUGACAAGAGGCUGUUUGAAGAUGUUGGUGCAACUCCAGCACAGACAUUUGAUCUUUUUGUGGAUUUUUUUUGCAUCUGUUUUCCUAACUUAUCAUUUUCCUUGCUACAGAAUAAAACCCAAGUCACGUUUGGAGGUCUUACUGCUCCUUCUGUCUUCAAAACAGAUGCUGGUGCCUUUGCCAAGGCAGCAGGUUCCACAGGAAGACAAGGCAAAGCUGAAAGACCACAUCUCACCAACUGCUCCCGGUGCAUGAGGAUGGAAAGGCCACCCCUGGGGAAUCAGCAAAUCCCCAGCAGCCAGAGACAGUCUCCUGCAGUGAAGAAAACCCUAAGAUGUUGGAGUUUGGGAAGGAGGAACUUGGAGUUGUUGGACUGCAUGGCUGCCUCUGUGGUGUUCCCAGGAUGGAAAGAUGCAGCAAAGAAGCAAAGUAAGUCAACAGGCAGGAGUCUGAUGCUCAGAGUUGAGAGGCAUCGACUCUAGUUCAUGUCCUACCCUGCUCCUGAGAACAUUGGUGAUUGCCUUCACUUGUCCGUGCCUAUACAAUAAGGUUGGUGAUGCUAUCUCCUUUGGAAAGUGCCCCAACAUCUUUCGAUGGUUAGCAAUAAACAUUUUUGUAUUCAUUGACUCUCCAAGUACUUCCCAAGAGCAGCUGCUCUUAGCACACCAUCUCCCCAUGAAGAUGUAUGGUGGAGCAGCUCUGCAGGCCUCAAAAUGGACUGGGAACAUUGUAGUGUUCCUCAUGGAGAAGAAUAAGUCAGCUGUAGCCAACAUUUGUUCAUUCACUCCUUUCCUGAGUGUGCAAAUGGAGCAGCCCCUAAUUACUCCUUAUUACGACGCCAAGUGGUGUAUUCACCAAGAGAACGGGAAAGACUAUUUCUCUCUUUCAGGCAGUAACAUGUAAAUGGCAUUUCUUAUUUCAUUCCUGCCAACUUUCAGACGUUAGCAAAGCAUUUCACUGAUAAUUAUUGAUCUUCUGUAUUUAUAGAAAGCUAGGACCUAGUACAAUUCAGUAUUCAGGAGAUCCCAAUUUUCUAUGAAUACCUGAGAAUGACUUGGUCGUUUUCCAUUUCUGUAAUUCCUUCUGUGUAGCUGGAGUAUGAAUUGCAUUCUUUAAAAUCCACCUAGUAGUGGAACAUGGCGAGGAAGCCGUGCCUGAAUUUCUUUCUUCUUACUGAAGCCAGACAUGUUGUUUUUAAUUUGAGCACUUCCAGUAUUAAUAUCCGACUUCAUUUACUUACAUCCAGUGUCAGCUUCCACACUCAAAUGGAUACCCUUGAACUAAUUGAUCAAGAAUUGCAAAUUGUGGCUCUCAGCUGUUAAAUAUGCAACUGGAUCUGUA
Long non-coding RNA from Columba livia (rock pigeon), 19762 nucleotides. RefSeq lists it as uncharacterized. The record is from RefSeq and is a predicted model, not a curated record. Lineage: Eukaryota; Metazoa; Chordata; Aves; Columbiformes; Columbidae. The transcript is spliced from 5 exons.